RNAcentral lists this ribosomal RNA (253 nucleotides) under uncultured bacterium. RNAcentral's name for it is "partial 16S ribosomal RNA". It matches the Rfam family "Bacterial small subunit ribosomal RNA", at positions 524 to 776 of the family's 1533-position model. The record is from RNAcentral.
UACAGAGGGUGCAAGCGUUGUUCGGAUUUACUGGGCGUAAAGCGUGCGUAGGCUGUAUUGAGAGUCGCGGGUGAAAUCCCAGGGCUUAACCCUGGAACUGCCUGCGAGACCUCAGUACUAGAGUGUGAGAGGGGAUAGUGGAAUUCCAGGUGUAGCGGUGAAAUGCGUAGAGAUCUGGAGGAACACCGGUGGCGAAGGCGGCUAUCUGGCUCACAACUGACGCUCAGGCACGAAAGCGUGGGUAGCAAACAGG